GACGAACGCUGGCGGCGUGCUUAACACAUGCAAGUCGAGCGGUAAGGCCCUUUCGGGGGUACACGAGCGGCGAACGGGUGAGUAACACGUGGGUGACCUGCCCUCAGCUCUGGGAUAAGCCUGGGAAACUGGGUCUAAUACUGGAUAUGACUCCACGGUGCAUGUCGUGGGGUGGAAAGCCUUGUGCGGCUGAGGAUGGGCCCGCGGCCUAUCAGCUUGUUGGUGGGGUGAUGGCCUACCAAGGCGACGACGGGUAGCCGGCCUGAAAGGGCGACCGGCCACACUGGGACUGAGACACGGCCCAGACUCCUACGGGAGGCAGCAGUGGGGAAUCUUGCGCAAGUGGGCGAAAGCCUGACGCAGCGACGCCGCGUGAGGGAUGACGGCCU
RNAcentral lists this ribosomal RNA (389 nucleotides) under uncultured bacterium. RNAcentral's name for it is "bacterial SSU rRNA". It matches the Rfam family "Bacterial small subunit ribosomal RNA", at positions 28 to 417 of the family's 1533-position model. The record is from RNAcentral.